CAGAAGGUAAUAGUCCUGUAUGGUAAACGAGAAGACUUCAGAUAUGGUCCAGAGUACCACGGGACACGGGAAACCCUGUGGGAAGCAGGAGGGACCACCCUCAAAGGCUAAAUACUACCUAGUGACCGAUAGCGUAUAGUACCGGGAGGGAAAGGAGAAAAGAAGAACGGGAGGGGAGUGAAAUAGAACCUGAAACCCUGCACUUACAAGCUGGGGAAGCACAUUUCUUGUGUGACAGCGUACUUUUUGUAGAACGGGCCAACGAGUUACGUUAAGUAGCAAGGUUAAGCACUUAAGGUGCGGAGCCGUAGCGAAAGAGAGUUUUAAAUGAGCGUUCAGUAACUGGACGUAGACACGAAACCGGGCGACCACGACAUGAGAAGGCUGAAGCGAGCGUAAAAGAUCGUGGAGGACCGAACAGACGAGCGUGGAAAAGCUCGGGGAUGACUUGUGGGGAGCGGUGAAAUUCCAAU
This 473-nucleotide ribosomal RNA is filed under the name Clostridioides difficile. Its description in RNAcentral is "bacterial LSU rRNA". It matches the Rfam family "Bacterial large subunit ribosomal RNA", at positions 358 to 833 of the family's 2925-position model. The record is from RNAcentral. Lineage: Bacteria; Bacillati; Bacillota; Clostridia; Peptostreptococcales; Peptostreptococcaceae.